This 73-nucleotide transfer RNA is filed under the name Stegodyphus mimosarum. RNAcentral's name for it is "tRNA-Thr for anticodon CGU". It matches the Rfam family "tRNA". From Rfam's summary of the family: Transfer RNA (tRNA) molecules are approximately 80 nucleotides in length. Their secondary structure includes four short double-helical elements and three loops (D, anti-codon, and T loops). Lineage: Eukaryota; Metazoa; Arthropoda; Arachnida; Araneae; Eresidae. The record is from Rfam by way of RNAcentral.
GCCUUCGUGGUAUAGUGGUCAGCACGCUCGACGCGUAUUCGAGAGGUCCGUGGUUCGAAUCCCGGCGAAGGCA